This 443-nucleotide ribosomal RNA is filed under the name uncultured bacterium. RNAcentral describes it as "SSU rRNA". It matches the Rfam family "Bacterial small subunit ribosomal RNA", at positions 26 to 518 of the family's 1533-position model. The record is from RNAcentral.
AGAGCGAACGCUGGCGGCAGGCCUAACACAUGCAAGUCGAGCGCCCCGCAAGGGGAGCGGCAGACGGGAGAGUAACACGUGGGAACGUACCCUUCAGUUCGGAACAACCCAGGGAAACUUGGGCUAAUACCGGAUACGUCCGUAAGGAGAAAGAUUUAUCGCUGAAGGAUCGGCCCGCGUCUGAUUAGCUAGUUGGUGGGGUAACGCUCACCAAGGCGACGAUCAGUAGCUGGUCUGAGAGGAUGAUCAGCCUCACUGGGACUGAGACACGGCCCAGACUCCUACGGGAGGCAGCAGUGGGGAAUAUUGGACAAUGGGCGCAAGCCUGAUCCAGCCAUGCCGCGUGGGUGAUGAAGGCCCUAGGGUUGUAAAGCCCUUUCGGCGGGGAAGAUAAUGACGGUACCCGCAGAAGAAGCCCCGGCUAACUUCGCGCCAGCAGCCGC